This 499-nucleotide ribosomal RNA is filed under the name Phomopsis sp. D130_101b. RNAcentral describes it as "eukaryotic LSU rRNA". The stretch from base 179 to 332 matches the Rfam family "5.8S ribosomal RNA". Lineage: Eukaryota; Fungi; Ascomycota; Sordariomycetes; Diaporthales; Diaporthaceae. The record is from RNAcentral.
UUGCUGGAACGCGCCCCAGGCGCACCCAGAAACCCUUUGUGAACUUAUACCUUACUGUUGCCUCGGCGCAUGCCGGCCCCCCUGGGGGCCCCUCCUUCUGGAGGAGCAGGCACGCCGGCGGCCAACCUAACUCUUGUUUUUACACUGAAACUCUGAGAAUAAAACAUAAAUGAAUCAAAACUUUCAACAACGGAUCUCUUGGUUCUGGCAUCGAUGAAGAACGCAGCGAAAUGCGAUAAGUAAUGUGAAUUGCAGAAUUCAGUGAAUCAUCGAAUCUUUGAACGCACAUUGCGCCCUCUGGUAUUCCGGAGGGCAUGCCUGUUCGAGCGUCAUUUCAACCCUCAAGCCUGGCUUGGUGAUGGGGCACUGCUUCUUACCCAAGAAGCAGGCCCUGAAAUUCAGUGGCGAGCUCGCCAGGACCCCGAGCGCAGUAGUURAACCCYCGCUCUGGAAGGCCCUGUCGGUGCCCCGGCCGUUAAACCCCCAACUCUGAGAAAUU